GUUUUAAAUGUUCUUAAGCCUGAGCCUUUGCUUCGCUAGGAGCUGGAGUGAGUAAUCAAUCUUCAGUAAUUGAAGCAGGAAGUCGAAGAUUAGAGAAUCAGGCCACGGGAGGUUCAACAGGACAACAGGGUCUUAGCGACAACCUUUCAGCUGAAGAACUUAGAAAGAGGAGACAGGCCUACUUUGAAAGACAGCAGCAGCAUCAAGCUCAGCAGCACAUUCCGGACACAAGAUCAACAGGUGACUCAGGAUCUGUAACCACUGACUCGGCUAAGGAUCAACAACCAAAACAGAGCCAGUGAAGUUGCGACAGGUAUAAGUCUGUUUGUUUACCAGCUGCCUGGACUUGCACACCCCCGGGGGGUAGCUCCGCUCCUUCCUCUAACCUUUUGCACGUGCGAACAUAAGGACAGUCCAAAGGCUGACACGUUUUCCCCGUUAGUUCGCUACAGAGGCUACAGAGAAGAGACUGCAAAGUAAAGGCAUCAGCCAGUGUAAUCUGACUAGGUUUAGGGUACUAAAGCUGGGUAAAGGGUGACCACAUGACUGGAGACACAGUUAAUCCAAGUUUUGAAUUGCUUUUGUAACACGGCGCCUUCUGUUUUUAAUUGUCCUUCUUUAGUCUUGUAUUUUUUUCUGGAAUUCUCUGGAAAGGAUAGCAUUUAAAUACAGCGUUCAAAGAUAUUUAGGCUGUAAAAGCAAAAUGAGACCAAUGUUUAAACCUUAGUUACAAGCUUUGUUGGAUAACAACAGGGCCCCAGGAAGAUCUUCAUAGUGGAUUUAGUUGUGAACAACAUUAAAAUGUGGUUUCAGUGUC
Cynoglossus semilaevis (tongue sole) is the source of this 817-nucleotide long non-coding RNA. RefSeq lists it as uncharacterized. The transcript is spliced from 3 exons. Lineage: Eukaryota; Metazoa; Chordata; Actinopteri; Pleuronectiformes; Cynoglossidae. The record is from RefSeq and is a predicted model, not a curated record.